RNAcentral lists this ribosomal RNA (464 nucleotides) under Vreelandella stevensii. Its description in RNAcentral is "partial 16S ribosomal RNA". It matches the Rfam family "Bacterial small subunit ribosomal RNA", at positions 338 to 795 of the family's 1533-position model. The record is from RNAcentral. Lineage: Bacteria; Pseudomonadati; Pseudomonadota; Gammaproteobacteria; Oceanospirillales; Halomonadaceae.
CCUAGGGGGGCUGCAGUGGGGAAUAUUGGACAAUGGGCGAAAGCCUGAUCCAGCCAUGCCGCGUGUGUGAAGAAGGCCUUCGGGUUGUAAAGCACUUUCAGUGGGGAAGAAAGCCUUGGGGCUAAUACCCUCGAGGAAGGACAUCACCCACAGAAGAAGCACCGGCUAACUCCGUGCCAGCAGCCGCGGUAAUACGGAGGGUGCGAGCGUUAAUCGGAAUUACUGGGCGUAAAGCGCGCGUAGGCGGUCUGAUAAGCCGGUUGUGAAAGCCCCGGGCUCAACCUGGGAACGGCAUCCGGAACUGUCAGGCUAGAGUGCAGGAGAGGAAGGUAGAAUUCCCGGUGUAGCGGUGAAAUGCGUAGAGAUCGGGAGGAAUACCAGUGGCGAAGGCGGCCUUCUGGACUGACACUGACGCUGAGGUGCGAAAGCGUGGGUAGCAAACAGGAUUAGAUACCCUUGUAGUC